This 329-nucleotide ribosomal RNA is filed under the name uncultured eukaryote. Its description in RNAcentral is "partial 18S ribosomal RNA". It matches the Rfam family "Eukaryotic small subunit ribosomal RNA", at positions 1470 to 1796 of the family's 1831-position model. The record is from RNAcentral.
CCCUUAGAUGUUCUGGGCCGCACGCGCGCUACACUGACGAUGGCAACGAGUUUUUCCUUCGCCGAAAGGUGUGGGUAAUCUUUUGAAACAUCGUCGUGCUGGGGAUAGAUCUUUGCAAUUUUUGAUCUUGAACGAGGAAUUCCUAGUAAGCGCGAGUCAUCAGCUCGCGUUGAUUACGUCCCUGCCCUUUGUACACACCGCCCGUCGCUACUACCGAUUGAAUGGUUUAGUGAGGACUCCUGAUUGGCGCCGCCGCCCCGGCAACGGAGCAGCGGACUGCCGAAAAGUUGUUCAAACUUGAUCAUUUAGAGGAAGUAAAAGUCGUAACA